Molecule: transfer RNA, 73 nt
Filed under: Chlorobium chlorochromatii CaD3
Lineage: Bacteria; Pseudomonadati; Chlorobiota; Chlorobiia; Chlorobiales; Chlorobiaceae
Description: tRNA-Thr
Source: RNAcentral
UAAUGCAAUAGCUUUAUUAUAGCUAUCAAUAGCUUCAUUAAAUCGUUUAAGCAAUUGUAACGCAUUACCUCGA